UGCGUAGGUUCUGAGAGGAAGGUCCUCCACAUGGUAUGAGACACGGACCAAACUCCUACGGGAGGCAGCAGUGAGGAAUAUUGGUCAAUGGACGAGAGUCUGAACCAGCCAAGUCGCGUGAGGGAGGAAGGUCCUAUGGAUUGUAAACCUCUUUUGCCGGGGAGUAACAAGCGGGACGUGUCCCGCCCUGAGAGUACCCGGAGAAAAAGCAUCGCUAACUCCGUGCCAGCAGCCGCGGUAAUACGGAGGAUGCGAGCGUUAUCCGGGUUUAUUGGGUUUAAAGGGUGCGCAGGCGGCGAGUCAAGUCAGCGGUCAAAGUGCGGAGCUCAACUCCGUAUCGCCGUUGAAACUGGUUUGCUAGAGUGCGUGCGAGGAAGGCGGAAUGCGUGGUGUAGCGGUGAAAUGCAUAGAUAUCACGCAGAACUCCGAUUGCGAAGGCAGCUUUCCAGCACGCUACUGACGCUCAUGCACGAAAGCGUGGGGAUCGAACAGGAUUAGAUACCCUGGUAGUCCACUGCGGUAAAUCGAUGAUUACUAGAUAUUCGGGCCGAUUGGGGCCUGUGUGUCACAGCGAAAGCGUUAAGUAAUCCACCUGGGGAGUACGCCGGCAACGGUGAAACUCAAAGGAAUUGACGGGGGCCCGCACAAGCGGAGGAACAUGUGGUUUAAUUCGAUGAUACGCGAGGAACCUUACCCGGGCUCAAACGCCAAGAGACGUAAUCUGAAAGGGUUAUUUCCGCAAGGACUGCUGGCGAGGUGCUGCAUGGUUGUCUGUCAGCUCUGUGCCGUGAGGUGUCGGCUUAAGUGCCAUAACGAGCGCAACNCCCCAUUUUCAGUUGCACAUCUGGGUCAUGCCGGGCACUCUUGGAGAGACUGCCGGCGCAAGACUGUGAGGAAGGCGGGGAUAGACAGUCAAAUCAGCACGGCCCUUACAGUCCGGGGCGACACACAGUGUUACAAUAGGCGGGGCACAGAAGGAAGCCAGGCGGCGACGACCGAGCCGAUCCCGAAAACCCGUCUCAGUUCAGAUCGGAGUCUGCAACUCGACUCCGUGAAGCUGGAUUCGCUAGUAAUCGCGCAUCAGCCAUGGCGCGGUGAAUACGUUCCCGGGCCUUGUACACACCGCCCGUCAAGCCAUGGAAGCUUGGAGUACCUAAAGUCCGUGACCGCAAGGAGCGGCGCAAAGGUAAGACAAGUAACUGCU
This 1204-nucleotide ribosomal RNA is filed under the name uncultured bacterium. RNAcentral describes it as "bacterial SSU rRNA". It matches the Rfam family "Bacterial small subunit ribosomal RNA", at positions 280 to 1479 of the family's 1533-position model. The record is from RNAcentral.